UACGUAGGGUGCGAGCGUUACUCGGAUUUACUGGGCGUAAAGCGUGCGCAGGCGGCCCGUUAAGACAGGUGUGAAAUCCCUGGGCUCAACCUAGGAAUUGCGCUUGUGACUGGCGGGCUCGAGUACGGUAGAGGGGGGUGGAAUUCCUGGUGUAGCAGUGAAAUGCGUAGAGAUCAGGAGGAACACCGAUGGCGAAGGCAGCCCCCUGGGCCUGUACUGACGCUCAUGCACGAAAGCGUGGGGAGCAAACAGG
This 253-nucleotide ribosomal RNA is filed under the name uncultured microorganism. RNAcentral describes it as "partial 16S ribosomal RNA". It matches the Rfam family "Bacterial small subunit ribosomal RNA", at positions 524 to 776 of the family's 1533-position model. The record is from RNAcentral.